CAAUAGCGUAUAUUAAAGUUGUUGCAGUUAAAAAGCUCGUAGUUGGAUUUCGGGGCAGCCUGGCUGGUCCGCCGCAAGGCGAGUACUGGUCAGCCGCCCUUCCUCUCGAAAGCCCCGGCUGCUCUUUAUUGCAGUGGUCGGGUAGUUCGGGACGUUUACUUUGAAAAAAUUAGAGUGUUCAAGGCAGGCCUACGCCUGAAUACAUUAGCAUGGAAUAAUGGAAGAGGACCUCGGUCCUAUUUUGUUGGUUUCCAGGACCGAAGUAAUGAUUAAGAGGGACAGUUGGGGGCAUUCGUAUUUAAUUGUCAGAGGUGAAAUUCUCGGAUUUAUGAAAGACGAACAACUGCGAAAGCAUUUGCCAAGGAUGUUUUCAUUAA
RNAcentral lists this ribosomal RNA (377 nucleotides) under uncultured eukaryote. RNAcentral's name for it is "partial 18S ribosomal RNA". It matches the Rfam family "Eukaryotic small subunit ribosomal RNA", at positions 592 to 976 of the family's 1831-position model. The record is from RNAcentral.